GGGGAUUUAGCUCAGUGGCAUAAGUGCCUGCCUUGCAAGUAGGUAGUUGUGAGUUCAAUCCCCG
Molecule: transfer RNA, 64 nt
Filed under: Cavia porcellus (domestic guinea pig)
Lineage: Eukaryota; Metazoa; Chordata; Mammalia; Rodentia; Caviidae
Rfam family: tRNA
About the family: Transfer RNA (tRNA) molecules are approximately 80 nucleotides in length. Their secondary structure includes four short double-helical elements and three loops (D, anti-codon, and T loops).
Source: Rfam by way of RNAcentral